RNAcentral lists this ribosomal RNA (428 nucleotides) under Polyphagoides cantrelli. RNAcentral describes it as "partial 16S ribosomal RNA". The record is from RNAcentral. Lineage: Eukaryota; Metazoa; Arthropoda; Insecta; Blattodea; Corydiidae.
UUCUUCUUGUAAUUAUUUUGAAGUAUAACCUGCCCACUGAUUUUAUUGAAGGGCCGCGGUAUUAUGACCGUGCAAAGGUAGCAUAAUCAUUAGUCUUUUAAUUGGAGGCUGGAAUGAAUGGUUGGACGAGAUAUUUACUGUUUCUAUUUGAUAAUUGAAUUUAAUUUUUGGGUGAGAAAGCUUAAAUUUUUUCACGGGACGAUAAGACCCUAUAGAGUUUUAUAUUUAUUUAUCUUUUGUAUAAUUUAGUUAUUUUAUUUAAAUAUUAAUUAUUUUGUUGGGGUGAUGAUAAGAUAAAUUAAAUUCUUAUUGAUAUUUGUAUAUUGAUUUAUAUUUUUGAUCCAUUAUUAUUGAUUAUAAGAUAAAAUUACCUUAGGGAUAACAGCGUUAUUUUUUCGGAGAGUUCAAAUCGAUGAAGAUGAUUGCGA